Molecule: ribosomal RNA, 492 nt
Filed under: uncultured bacterium
Lineage: Bacteria
Description: partial 16S ribosomal RNA
Rfam family: Bacterial small subunit ribosomal RNA
Source: RNAcentral
AGUGAACGCUGGCGGUAGGCCUAACACAUGCAAGUCGAACGGCAGCACAGUAAGAGCUUGCUCUUACGGGUGGCGAGUGGCGGACGGGUGAGGAAUACAUCGGAAUCUACUUUUUCGUGGGGGAAAACGUAGGGAAACUUACGCUAAUACCGCAUACGACCUACGGUUGAAAGCAGGGUAUCUUCGGCCCUCGCGCGAUUGAGUGAGCCGAUGUCGGAUUACUUAGUUGGCGGGGUAAAGGCCCACCAAGGCGACGAUCCGUAGCUGGUCUGAGAGGAUGAUCAGCCACACUGGAACUGAGACACGGUCCAGACUCCUACGGGAGGCAGCAGUGGGGAAUAUUGGACAAUGGGCGCAAGCCUGAUCCAGCCAUACCGCGUGGGUGAAGAAGGCCUUCGGGUUGUAAAGCCCUUUUGUUGGGAAAGAAAAGCAGCAGGUUAAUACCCCGCUGUUCUGACGGUACCCAAAGAAUAAGCACCGGCUAACUUCGUG